GAUGAACGCUGGCGGCGUGCCUAACACAUGCAAGUCGAGCGAACGGACGAGAAGUUUGCUUCUCUGAUGUUAGCGGCGGACGGGAGAGUAACAUGUGGAUAACCUACCUAUAAGACUGGGAUAAUUUCGGGAAACCGGAGCUAAUACCGGAUAAUAUUUUGAACCGCAUGGUUCAAAAGUGAAAGACGGUCUUGCUGUCACUUAUAGAUGGAUCCGCGCUGCAUUAGCUAGUUGGUAAGGUAACGGCUUACCAAGGCAACGAUGCAUAGCCGACCUGAGAGGGUGAUCGGCCACACUGGAACUGAGACACAGUCCAGACUCCUACGGGAGGCAGCAGUAGGGAAUCUUCCGCAAUGGGCGAGAGCCUGACGGAGCGACGCCGCGUGAGUGAUGAAGGUCUUCGGAUCGUAAAACUCUGUUAUUAGUGGAAAACAUAUGUGUAAGUAACUGUGCACAUCUUGACGGUACCUGAUCAAAAAGCCACGGCUAACUACGUG
RNAcentral lists this ribosomal RNA (497 nucleotides) under uncultured bacterium. RNAcentral's name for it is "partial 16S ribosomal RNA". It matches the Rfam family "Bacterial small subunit ribosomal RNA", at positions 28 to 507 of the family's 1533-position model. The record is from RNAcentral.